This is a transfer RNA of Eutypa lata, 101 nucleotides long. It matches the Rfam family "tRNA". Rfam says of the family: Transfer RNA (tRNA) molecules are approximately 80 nucleotides in length. Their secondary structure includes four short double-helical elements and three loops (D, anti-codon, and T loops). The record is from Rfam. NCBI's taxonomy places the organism in Eukaryota, Fungi, Ascomycota, Sordariomycetes, Xylariales, Diatrypaceae.
GCCCGUUUGGCUCAGCGGUAGAGCGCCUCACUAGUAAACAGGAACAUAUUUGUUCCCUCCUCGCUAUGAGGAAGCGACUGGUUCGACUCCAGUAAUGGGCA